Molecule: unclassified non-coding RNA, 215 nt
Filed under: uncultured Hebeloma
Lineage: Eukaryota; Fungi; Basidiomycota; Agaricomycetes; Agaricales; Cortinariaceae
Also listed under: 1 other name
Description: sequence contains ITS2
Source: RNAcentral
AAUUCUCAACCAUUAUUAGCUUUUGCUGAUGAUGGCUUGGAUAUGGGGGUUUAUUUUGCUGGCUUCUUUACAGAUGGUCAGCUCCCCUUAAAUGCAUUAGCCGGUGCCCCGCGUGGACUGUCUAUUGGUGUGAUAAUUAUCUACGCCGUCGACAUCUACAAUCAUAUGGGUUUGCACUGCUUCCAACCGUCUGUUUAUUCAGACAAUACAUGACA